UCACUCUGAUGGACACGAGCACCGCACAGGGAGAGUUGGGCUGGCUGCUGGAUCCCGAGGAUGGGUGGAGCAAGAUGCAGCAGAUGCUGAAUGGGACACCCCUCUACAUGUUCCAAGACUGCGCAGUACAAGGAGGAGGAGACACUGACCACUGGCUUCGUUCCAAUUGGAUCUACCGGGGGGAGGAGGAUUUUCAAGUCUUCGUGGAGCUUCAGUUCACCAUGCGGGACUGUAAGAGUUUCGGGGAAGCCGGGCCUCUGGGCUGCAAGGAGACCUUCAACCUUCUGUACAUGGAGAGUGACCAGGACGUGGGUGUUCAGCUCCGACGGCCCAUGUUCCAGAAGGUCACCACGGUGGCUGCAGACGAGAGCUUCACCAUUCGAGACCUUGCAUCACGCUUGGUGAAAAUGAACACCGAGCGCUGCUCCCUGGGCCUCCUGACCGGCCGCGGCCUCUACCUCGCUUUCCAAAACCCGGGGGCCUGCAUGACCCUGGUGUCCGUACGGGUGUUCUACCUGCGCUGCCCUGAGGCUGUGCAUGGCUUAGCCCAGUUCCCUGACACUCUGCCUAGACCUGCCAAGUUGGUAGAAGUGGCGGGGACCUGCUUGCCCCAUGCCCAGGCCAGCCCCUCAGGAGCACCCCUCAUGCACUGCAGCUCUGAAGGCGAGUGGUUGGUACCAGUGGGGAGGUGCCACUGUGAGCCUGGCUAUGAGGAAGGCGGAGAGAGAUGCCAUGCCUGCCCAAGUGGCUCCUACCGGGCAAAUGUGGACUCACCCCAUUGUCUCAAGUGCCCCCAACACAGCAUGGCCGAGUCUGAGGGGGCCACCUUCUGUACCUGUGAGAGCGGCCAUUACCGAGCCCCUGGGGAGGGCCCGCAGGCGGCGUGCACACGUCCCCCCUCAGUCCCUCAAAACCUGAGCUUCUCUGUUUCGGAGGCUCAGCUCUCCCUGCAUUGGGCACCCCCAGCAGAUAUGGGGGGGCGCCAGGAUGUGAGAUACAGCGUGGGGUGUUCUCAGUGUCGGGGAGCAGUGCAAGGCGAAGCCCCCUGCCAGCCCUGUGCGGGAAAUGUGCGCUUCUCCCCCGGGGCCAGCGAGCUCACCAUGCCUGCUGUGCGCGUCGAGGGCCUUGAACCCUACGCCAACUACACCUUUCACGUUGAAGCCCACAAUGGAGUGUCAGGGUUGGGCAGCUCCAAGCCCGCCAGCGCCUGGCUCAGCAUCCACAUGGGGCACACAGAGUCACCACCGGGCCUGUCCCUGAGGCUGGUGAGGAAGGAGCCCAGGCAGCUGGAGCUGACCUGGGCGGGCUCCCGACCCCGAAGCCCUGGCGGGAACCUGACCUAUGAACUACACGUGCUGAACCAGGAUGAAGAAAGGUACCAGAUGGUACUAGAACCCAGGGUCCUGCUGACCGAACUGCAGCCAGACACCACGUACAUCAUCAGGGUCCGAAUGUUGACCCCGCUGGGCCCUGGCCCUUUCUCUCCUGACCAUGAGUUUCGGACCAGCCCACCAGUUUCCAGGGGCCUGACUGGAGGCGAGAUCGUGGCCAUCAUCUUCGGGAUGCUGCUGGGCCUGGGACUGCUGCUCGGGAUCUUUGUCUUCCGUUCCAGGAAACGUCGACAACUACAGCAGCAGAGGCAGCUUGAUUGUGUCACCAAUGUGAACAGAGGGGACAAGCAGAGGCUGAAGCCUUACGUGGACCUCCUGGCAGAACCCAUGACGACGUAUGAGGACCCUGCCCGGGGGGCCCUGGACUUCACCCAGGAGCUGGAUCCAGCCUGGCUGAUCGUGGACACUGUCAUAGGGGGAGGAGAGUUUGGGGAAGUGUAUCAAGGGACCCUGAGAAUCCCCAGCCAGGACUGCAAGACGGUGGCCAUUAAGACCUUGAAGAACACGUCUCCAGACGGCCAGUGGUGGAACUUCCUUCGAGAGGCAACAAUCAUGGGCCAGUUUAACCACCCGCACAUUCUGCACCUCGAAGGCGUUGUGACAAAGAGAAAACCCAUCAUGAUCAUCACGGAGUUUAUGGAGAACGGAGCCCUGGAUGCCUUCCUGAGGGAGCGGGAGGACCAGCUGGUCCCUGCACAGUUGGUGGCCAUGCUGCUGGGCAUUGCAUCUGGUAUGACCUACCUCAGUGACCACAAUUAUGUCCACCGGGACCUGGCAGCCAGGAACAUCUUAGUGAGUCAGAACCUGUGCUGCAAGGUGUCUGACUUUGGCCUUACCCGUCUCCUGGACAACAAGGAUGGUACCUACGAAACUCAGGGAGGAAAGAUCCCCAUCCGUUGGACAGCACCUGAAGCCAUUGCCGAUCGGAUCUUCUCCACGGCCAGUGACGUGUGGAGCUUUGGGAUUGUGAUGUGGGAGGUGCUGAGCUUUGGGGACAAACCCUAUGGGGAGAUGAGCAAUCAGGAGGUAAUGCAGAGCAUUAAGGAUGGGUACCGGCUGCCCCCUCCUGUGGAUUGCCCUGCUGCUCUCUAUGAACUAAUGAAGAACUGCUGGGCCUACAACUGUGACCAUCGGCCCCACUUCCACCAGCUAAAGACACAGUUGGAGCGAUUGCUGAACACCCCCCACACCCUGCGGACCAUGGCCAACUUUGAUCCCAAGGUAACCCUUCGCCUGCCCAGCUUGAGCGGCUCAGACGGGAUCCCCUAUCGAAGCGUCCCCGAGUGGCUGGAGUCCAUUCGCAUGAAACGCUACAUUCUGAACUUCCGCUCAGCUGGGCUGGACACCAUGGAGUGUGUACUGGACCUGACGGCCGAGGACCUGGUGCAGAUGGGGAUCACGCUGCCAGGACACCAGAAGCGCAUUCUUUGCAGUAUUCAGGGAUUCAAGGACUGAGCCCUCCCCUCCCCGCAUCCUGUCCUCAGGAAGCAAGGAUGGGGCCAGGGUCACUCAAGUCCUUUCCCUCAGCCUACCAGGCCUUGGUGCUGCUCCGACCCAUGCUUCCCUGAGGAACUUGCCUUUGGAGCCUGGGAGCCUCUUUGUUUUCAAAAGGGAGGUUGGGGUAUAAGUAAAGUCAUCGUGCUGGGAGGAGGGUUUAAUAUAUAUAUAGGUACACACAUAUAUAUUUUUAUAAGUAAACAGGAGCUGAAUUUUCACCUGGACCCCUGGUUUUUUUUAAUCCCUCAGUCUCCUCCAUCUGUAGCACAAGAGUCAACUGCUAAGAAUUCUGGAAAACAAGGUUUUUUAUUUGUAGCUGUAACCACAACCUGGCAGCAUGGUAGCAGGCAUCCAGUACAAGGAUGGGCAGUGGAUAGAGCUGCACCCAUCCCAAUAAAGGAUAUGGGGCCAUUCCCACAUGUCUCAAUUCCA
This is an RNA transcript of Myotis brandtii (Brandt's bat), 3320 nucleotides long. It is a transcript of the gene named EPH receptor A1, with no coding region annotated. The transcript is spliced from 18 exons. The record is from RefSeq and is a predicted model, not a curated record. Lineage: Eukaryota; Metazoa; Chordata; Mammalia; Chiroptera; Vespertilionidae.